GAUGAACGCUGGCGGCAUGCCUAAUACAUGCAAGUCGAACGGACUGAAGAAUGUGCUUGCACAAUCUAAAGUUAGUGGCGAACGGGUGAGUAACACGUGGGUAACCUGCCCAUUCGAUAGGGAUAACCGUUGGAAACGACGACUAAUACCUAAUAGGUUAAUAUAAGGCAUCUUAUAUUAAUUAAAGUUGCGUUCGCAACACGAAUGGAUGGACCCGCGGUGCAUUAGCUAGUUGGUGGGGUAAAGGCCUACCAAGGCGAUGAUGCAUAGCCGACCUGAGAGGGUGAACGGCCACAUUGGGACUGAGACACGGCCCAAACUCCUACGGGAGGCAGCAGUAGGGAAUUUUCGGCAAUGGGCGCAAGCCUGACCGAGCAAUGCCGCGUGAGUGAUGACGCAAUUCGUUGUGUAAAGCUCUGUUAUAAGGGAAGAAUAAGAUAGAAAGGAAAUGAUCUAUCGAUGACGGUACCUUAUCAGAAAGCCACGGCUAACUACGUGCCAGCAGCCGCGGUAAUACGUAGGUGGCAAGCGUUAUCCGGAAUUAUUGGGCGUAAAGGGUGCGCAGGCGGUAAGGUAAGUUUGAGGUAAAAGGCUACGGCUCAACCGUAGUAUGCCUUGAAAACUGCCAUACUAGAGUGCGGGAGAGGAUGAUGGAAUUCCAUGUGUAGCGGUAAAAUGCGUAGAUAUAUGGAGGAACACCGGUGGCGAAGGCGAUCAUCUGGACCGUAACUGACGCUCAAGCACGAAAGCGUGGGGAGCAAAUAGG
This 766-nucleotide ribosomal RNA is filed under the name uncultured bacterium. RNAcentral's name for it is "bacterial SSU rRNA". It matches the Rfam family "Bacterial small subunit ribosomal RNA", at positions 28 to 776 of the family's 1533-position model. The record is from RNAcentral.